AGAGUUUGAUCCUAGCUCAGGAUGAACGCUGGCGGCGUGCCUAAUACAUGCAAGUCGAGCGAACGGACGAGAAGCUUGCUUCUCUGAUGUUAGCGGCGGACGGGUGAGUAACACGUGGAUAACCUACCUAUAAGACUGGGAUAACUUCGGGAAACCGGAGCUAAUACCGGAUAAUAUUUUGAACCGCAUGGUUCAAAAGUGAAAGACGGUCUUGCUGUCACUUAUAGAUGGAUCCGCGCUGCAUUAGCUAGUUGGUAAGGUAACGGCUUACCAAGGCAACGAUGCAUAGCCGACCUGAGAGGGUGAUCGGCCACACUGGAACUGAGACACGGUCCAGACUCCUACGGGAGGCAGCAGUAGGGAAUCUUCCGCAAUGGGCGAAAGCCUGACGGAGCAACGCCGCGUGAGUGAUGAAGGUCUUCGGAUCGUAAAACUCUGUUAUUAGGGAAGAACAUAUGUGUAAGUAACUGUGCACAUCUUGACGGUACCUAAUCAGAAAGCCACGGCUAACUACGUGCCAGCAGCCGCGGUAAUACGUAGGUGGCAAGCGUUAUCCGGAAUUAUUGGGCGUAAAGCGCGCGUAGGCGGUUUUUUAAGUCUGAUGUGAAAGCCCACGGCUCAACCGUGGAGGGUCAUUGGAAACUGGAAAACUUGAGUGCAGAAGAGGAAAGUGGAAUUCCAUGUGUAGCGGUGAAAUGCGCAGAGAUAUGGAGGAACACCAGUGGCGAAGGCGACUUUCUGGUCUGUAACUGACGCUGAUGUGCGAAAGCGUGGGGAUCAAACAGGAUUAGAUACCCUGGUAGUCCACGCCGUAAACGAUGAGUGCUAAGUGUUAGGGGGUUUCCGCCCCUUAGUGCUGCAGCUAACGCAUUAAGCACUCCGCCUGGGGAGUACGACCGCAAGGUUGAAACUCAAAGGAAUUGACGGGGACCCGCACAAGCGGUGGAGCAUGUGGUUUAAUUCGAAGCAACGCGAAGAACCUUACCAAAUCUUGACAUCCUUUGACAACUCUAGAGAUAGAGCCUUCCCCUUCGGGGGACAAAGUGACAGGUGGUGCAUGGUUGUCGUCAGCUCGUGUCGUGAGAUGUUGGGUUAAGUCCCGCAACGAGCGCAACCCUUAAGCUUAGUUGCCAUCAUUAAGUUGGGCACUCUAAGUUGACUGCCGGUGACAAACCGGAGGAAGGUGGGGAUGACGUCAAAUCAUCAUGCCCCUUAUGAUUUGGGCUACACACGUGCUACAAUGGACAAUACAAAGGGCAGCGAAACCGCGAGGUCAAGCAAAUCCCAUAAAGUUGUUCUCAGUUCGGAUUGUAGUCUGCAACUCGACUACAUGAAGCUGGAAUCGCUAGUAAUCGUAGAUCAGCAUGCUACGGUGAAUACGUUCCCGGGUCUUGUACACACCGCCCGUCACACCACGAGAGUUUGUAACACCCGAAGCCGGUGGAGUAACCUUUUAGGAGCUAGCCGUCGAAGGUGGGACAAAUGAUUGGGGUGAAGUCGUAACAAGGUAGCCGUAUCGGAAGGUGCGGCUGGAUCACCU
Molecule: ribosomal RNA, 1540 nt
Filed under: Staphylococcus aureus USA_6
Lineage: Bacteria; Bacillati; Bacillota; Bacilli; Caryophanales; Staphylococcaceae
Description: 16S ribosomal RNA
Rfam family: Bacterial small subunit ribosomal RNA
Source: RNAcentral